Molecule: non-coding RNA, 357 nt
Organism: Pelobates cultripes (western spadefoot toad)
Lineage: Eukaryota; Metazoa; Chordata; Amphibia; Anura; Pelobatidae
Source: the annotation of a GenBank genome assembly
GUGCCCUCAAUCUUAACCCAUUGUGUGCUCGUGUUGGUAUUUGUCCAGUCAUAAACCCUGGAGAGGUGGACCGCCUGAUGAUAUUUUUCCACACUCAGGAGGCCUAGACCACCUUCCAAGUGAGGCCUAGUCAGAAGUUUACAGAUGGACUCCAAGAAAAUCUUAGGGAAGGAAAUGGGAAUCGUUUGCAGUAGGUACAAGAUACAUGGAAGGAUAUUCCUCUUAAUAAUAUUGAGUAGUCUGAACCAUCCAAAAAGUGGUUUAUGCCAUGUUUUUAGAUCAUUUGUGAUGGCCGCCAAAAGUGGUGGAAAGAUGGUCUCAUACAACCGUUCCGGUCAUCAGGGGAGGUGGAUCCCU